UUUUCAAGAAAAAAUCUUUAA
RNAcentral lists this non-coding RNA (21 nucleotides) under Caenorhabditis elegans. Lineage: Eukaryota; Metazoa; Nematoda; Chromadorea; Rhabditida; Rhabditidae. The record is from RNAcentral.